Molecule: ribosomal RNA, 932 nt
Filed under: Camarosporidiella elongata
Lineage: Eukaryota; Fungi; Ascomycota; Dothideomycetes; Pleosporales
Description: eukaryotic LSU rRNA
Rfam family: Eukaryotic large subunit ribosomal RNA
Source: RNAcentral
UUUGUUUGUCCCCCCCCCGGAAGUAGCAUAUCAAUAAGCGGAGGAAAAGAAACCAACAGGGAUUGCCCUAGUAACGGCGAGUGAAGCGGCAACAGCUCAAAUUUGAAAUCUGGCUCUUUCAGAGUCCGAGUUGUAAUUUGCAGAGGGCGCUUUGGCGUUGGCAGCGGUCCAAGUUCCUUGGAACAGGACGUCACAGAGGGUGAGAAUCCCGUACGUGGUCGCUGGCCUUCGCCGUGUAAAGCCCCUUCGACGAGUCGAGUUGUUUGGGAAUGCAGCUCUAAAUGGGAGGUAAAUUUCUUCUAAAGCUAAAUACUGGCCAGAGACCGAUAGCGCACAAGUAGAGUGAUCGAAAGAUGAAAAGCACUUUGGAAAGAGAGUCAAAUAGCACGUGAAAUUGUUGAAAGGGAAGCGCUUGCAGCCAGACUUGCCUGUAGUUGCUCAUCCGGGCUUUUGCCCGGUGCACUCUUCUGCGGGCAGGCCAGCAUCAGUUUGGGCGGUUGGAUAAAGGUCUCUGUCAUGUACCUCUCUUCGGGGAGGCCUUAUAGGGGAGACGUCAUACAACCAGCCUGGACUGAGGUCCGCGCAUUUAUGCUAGGAUGCUGGCGUAAUGGCUGUAAGCGGCCCGUCUUGAAACACGGACCAAGGAGUCUAACAUCUAUGCGAGUGUUUGGGUGUCAAGCCCGAACGCGUAAUGAAAGUGAACGGAGGUGGGACCCCAUUAGGGUGCACCAUCGACCGAUCCUGAUGUCUUCGGAUGGAUUUGAGUAAGAGCAUGGCUGUUGGGACCCGAAAGAUGGUGAACUAUGCUUGAAUAGGGUGAAGCCAGAGGAAACUCUGGUGGAGGCUCGCAGCGGUUCUGACGUGCAAAUCGAUCGUCAAAUUUGGGCAUAGGGGCGAAAGACUAAUCGAACUAUCAAGUAGCUGGUUCCUGC